CAGUCCACGCCGUAAACGAUGGAUACUAGCUGUUCGAUCUUCGGAUUGAGUGGCUAAGCGAAAGUGAUAAGUAUCCCACCUGGGGAGUACGUUCGCAAGAAUGAAACUCAAAGGAAUUGACGGGGGCCCGCACAAGCGGUGGAGCAUGUGGUUUAAUUCGAUGAUACGCGAGGAACCUUACCAGGGCUUAAAUGUAGAUUGACAGGGGUGGAAACACCUUUUCCUUCGGGCAAUUUACAAGGUGCUGCAUGGUUGUCGUCAGCUCGUGCCGUGAGGUGUCAGGUUAAGUCCUAUAACGAGCGCAACCCCUGUUGUUAGUUGCCAGCGAGUCAAGUCGGGAACUCUAACAAGACUGCCAGUGCAAACUGUGAGGAAGGUGGGGAUGACGUCAAAUCAUCACGGCCCUUACGUCCUGGGCCACACACGUGCUACAAUGGUCGGUACAGAGGGUCGCGAACCCGCGAGGGGAAGCCAAUCCCAGAAAGCCGAUCUUAGUCCGGAUCGCAGUCUGCAA
RNAcentral lists this ribosomal RNA (514 nucleotides) under uncultured bacterium. RNAcentral describes it as "bacterial SSU rRNA". It matches the Rfam family "Bacterial small subunit ribosomal RNA", at positions 791 to 1310 of the family's 1533-position model. The record is from RNAcentral.